This 216-nucleotide unclassified non-coding RNA is filed under the name Hevea brasiliensis (rubber tree). The record is from RNAcentral. Lineage: Eukaryota; Viridiplantae; Streptophyta; Magnoliopsida; Malpighiales; Euphorbiaceae.
UGCAGCAUGGAGUCUGUCGCCAUUUGUAAAUAUAACCUUCCGAAUCGGGAGGCUCAACAAGAGAUGUCUCAAAACAGGAUCCGGCUUCAGCCAGUCAUAAGGCAAUCGCCCGUGCACAAAACUGUGAUAAUCAUCAUAGUCGAAUGCGUAGCCGAUAGCCCUUAGACCGGCCAUUGUCGUCCCAUAAUACCUGUACAACAGACCACACAAUUCCGA